Oncorhynchus nerka (sockeye salmon) is the source of this 452-nucleotide long non-coding RNA. RefSeq lists it as uncharacterized. The record is from RefSeq and is a predicted model, not a curated record. NCBI's taxonomy places the organism in Eukaryota, Metazoa, Chordata, Actinopteri, Salmoniformes, Salmonidae. The transcript is spliced from 4 exons.
CGGGACAAUUCUGCGACGUGAACAUAGAUGACUGUGAAGAGAAGCCGUGCGGUGUUCUGAGUAUUUGCAAAGACACCGUCAACGGCUACAAUUGUUUCUGUGCACCUGGAUUCAUUGGUAAUAACUGUGAGGUGGAGGUAAACGAGUGUCUGAGCCAGCCCUGCCACAACGGAGCUUCCUGCUCUGAUGAGCUCAACGCAUUCAGCUGCUUAUGCCCAAUCGGAGUCACAGGUGACUACUGUGAAAUCAACAUUGAUGAGUGUCUGUCAGGGCCAUGCAGACACAAUAGCACGUGUUUGGACCUGGCCAAUGGCUAUGAAUGUGUCUGUCUACCCGGCUUCACUGGCGCUGGGUGUGAGUUCGACAUUGACGAGUGUGCCUCUUCUCCCUGCAAGAACGGAGCCACUUGCAUUGACCAGCCUGGCAAUUACCACUGUCAGUGUGUGGCUCCA